Molecule: small RNA, 477 nt
Filed under: Pongo abelii (Sumatran orangutan)
Lineage: Eukaryota; Metazoa; Chordata; Mammalia; Primates; Hominidae
Description: retained intron
Source: RNAcentral
CUGUUACAACAGAUGAGCCCAAAGUUGCCAAAACUUGGAAGUCACUUUCCAAACAGGAAUUAAAUCAAAUGCUCGCAGAAACACCACCAGUUUGGAAAGGCUCAUCAAAGCUAUUUCGAAAUCUUAAAGAAAGAGGUGUGAUUUCUUACACAGAAUAUCUUUUUCUUUUAUGUAUUUUAACAAAGCCACAUGCAGGGUUCAGAAUAGCUUUCAACAUGUUUGACACUGACGGCAAUGAGAUGGUGGAUAAAAAAGAGUUCUUGGUGCUUCAAGAGAUAUUCCGGAAAAAAAAUGAGAAGAGAGAAACUAAAGGAGAUGAAGAAAAGCGUGCAGUGCUGCAUCUUCAACUUUAUGGAUACCAUUCUCCUACUAAUAGUGUAUGUACAAUACUUUAAAUGUUCUUUAUGUAUAUAGCCCUCACCUGUUAUACUUGAUAAUGUUAUUUCUUUAUAUAAAGCUAUAUCUGCUGUUUACUAA